AACCAGUCGGAGAGGUUGAAGGAAAGGGGGGAGUGAUUUAAGGAGAGGAGGCUGAAGACAUAAACUGAAAUACAUACUUGUGACGAAGGAUUGUGCAGACUCAGACCCUGUGGCUGAACUGGAAGGAAGCACAUGUGAUGCGUACAGAAAGGCUGCAAUAAGAAAUGAGACUCCGGAGCUACAAAGAACCCGCUGUGUUGGCCUCUCGUCACCCCAGCCCCUCCUAGCCCUGACUUCCACUGAAGAGGAGAGGCUCGGGCUCCUCUCCUCUCUGAUGUGCCUAAUUAUGCCGACGCUGCGGCCAAACCGGCUCCCACCU
This is a long non-coding RNA of Esox lucius (northern pike), 319 nucleotides long. RefSeq lists it as uncharacterized. The transcript is spliced from 3 exons. The record is from RefSeq and is a predicted model, not a curated record. NCBI's taxonomy places the organism in Eukaryota, Metazoa, Chordata, Actinopteri, Esociformes, Esocidae.